RNAcentral lists this non-coding RNA (30 nucleotides) under Mus musculus (house mouse). Lineage: Eukaryota; Metazoa; Chordata; Mammalia; Rodentia; Muridae. The record is from RNAcentral.
UNCUCACAGGAUUCAGUGUUCUUAACAGGU